UACAGAGGGUGCGAGCGUUAAUCGGAAUUACUGGGCGUAAAGCGCGCGUAGGCGGCUUUGCAAGUCGGGUGUGAAAUCCCCAGGCUUAACCUGGGAACUGCAUUCGAGACUGCAUUGCUAGAGUAUGGGAGAGGGAAGUGGAAUUUCCGGUGUAGCGGUGAAAUGCGUAGAUAUCGGAAGGAACAUCAGUGGCGAAAGCGACUUCCUGGACCAAUACUGACGCUCAUGUGCGAAAGCGUGGGGAGCAUACAGG
RNAcentral lists this ribosomal RNA (253 nucleotides) under uncultured bacterium. Its description in RNAcentral is "partial 16S ribosomal RNA". It matches the Rfam family "Bacterial small subunit ribosomal RNA", at positions 524 to 776 of the family's 1533-position model. The record is from RNAcentral.